Cyprinus carpio carpio is the source of this 1807-nucleotide long non-coding RNA. The record is from Ensembl. Lineage: Eukaryota; Metazoa; Chordata; Actinopteri; Cypriniformes; Cyprinidae.
AUGCUUUACCCAUUAUGGGUUAUUUAUAUGGAAUUUGGGUUAUUUUGUGCAACUCAUGCGUUGAGUCAAAAUCCAUCAACCCAAUUUAUAUCGGUUGACCCAGCACGUGAGUUGUUUGUGCUUCGAACCUCAUCAUCACCAGAGUCCACACACCGAGCGCUCGUCACAGCAGAGAACCUGACUGCUCAUGCAGCGAGGCCAAUAAAUAAUAAAAGGCGCUGUGUGCGCGCCCGCGCCCUUACAUCUGCUGAGCAACUGGUGCGACGUGACACGGAUUUUUCCUGUUAUUUUGCAGAUCAAUUGACAGCUUUGUCAUUAACACUGACAGACCUUGUCGAAAGAUUUAAAGAGGAGGGGAUUGAUGAAGAUAGUUUUCUUUUAGAUGAGGCUACCAUCAACCAGUUGAUCCUAAAACAGGAGGGGAAGCUGACAUUGCCCCUGGAUGGAUUAACACCAGAUGGUGUUGGGGAACUUGCCCUGAGACAGUUGCCAGCCUUGCUUCCACCUACAACUUACAAAGGUGUGAAAGUAGUUCGCCACACCAUUCAGGAAUGCAGCUUGGCCUUCAUCGACCAUAAGCCUCCUGGAAUAAACAUGGUGGAGUACCUCCAUGAGGCCAAGGCAUGCAAGACAUACCCUCACAUCCUGACGCUGGGAAAUGAUCAGAGUGCAUUUCAGGCCUUCGUCAUAAUAGCUGGACAGGCCCUGGAACUAGAAACACUGCUUUGGGCCAUUGAUGUCUGCUUCAAGGCAUUCUUUGUCUUUGACAUUGAAUACCCAAAGCAGUGUGAACAUGUGUGGGAAUUCAUACAGAAUGUGAUAUAUGAAAUCUAAAAUGGUUAAGUUUAUUCAAACUAGAAUACUUGCUUGCAAGUAGAGAUAAUGGCUCUUAAAAGCAGCAUUAAGGAAUUUGAAUUUGUUCACUAGAGCUGCUGACUGUUGGCCUGUUGAAUGUUCAGCCAGUUCAAUCGAAAUUGUUUUGCUUUGAAUGUUUUCCAACCUGAGUGAACUGCACCAGUUCCACUAUAUUGUCGAUAUUAAUGUAAUAAAUUUUUUCAAAGAUUCCAUUGUUUUGUUCUUGUAUUGUUUAAGUGUUUAUUGCAUAAUAUAUGCAUAAAUCUAGCAUGUAUUCUGUUCUAGGUUUGUAGUUUCACAGUUUUAUAUGGGUAGUCUAUUGCAAUUUAUUUUCUUAAAUUGUAGUGUAAUGUGUUAAGACUUAAUCUGGCAUAUGGGUUAAUUUUACCCAUCUUAAUAUGUAGUUGAAUCAACCCAGAAUUGUAUUUAAUUUGACCCAGAAUUUAGGUACACUAUUUAACAAAUAUGUAGUUAAAUCAACCCAUAAUUGUAUUUAAUUUGACCCAGAAUUUGGGUAGAAUAUUUAACUCAUCUGUUGGGUUAAAAAUGACCAACCCAUCUUGCUGGGUCAAAUUAACUACCGUUGGUCUGGUGCAAUAUUGAUCCAGCGGUUGGGUUAUAAAACAACCCAAGGUGGGUUAUUUUUAACCCAUCAUUUUUCUGUGUGUACAUUAUCACUUCUAUGAGUCCGUUUUGGAUGAGUAUAAAUGAAACAUACACUGCCUGAGAGUGUUUAGUUGAUGUUCACAUUGCCUCAUUCUGGAUACAAAUAAAAUGUCAGGUCAUGCAUAGAUUAUCCUAAUGUAGAUUUAUUUACACUGGCCCAUGACAACCUAUACAUGAACACACCUGCCCGAAUAAAGUGCGGGGGACAAAUAUACAUUUUAUUAAAUUUAAAUUUAAAUUUUUCAUUUUAUUUAAUAUUAAAAAUGCUAUCGCAGUUCUACGCUCA